Peromyscus leucopus (white-footed mouse) is the source of this 2045-nucleotide RNA transcript. It is a transcript of the gene named cyclin H, with no coding region annotated. Lineage: Eukaryota; Metazoa; Chordata; Mammalia; Rodentia; Cricetidae. The record is from RefSeq and is a predicted model, not a curated record. The transcript has 10 exons.
CGCCGGCACGUGACCGCGACGUCACGCGCGCGCCUCCGGUCUGGGCCGCGGGCUGCUCGGGGUCGCGGUCGCGCGUGGCGGCCGCGGUCUCCUGGCGCGUCGCUGUCGCCGUCGCCGUCUCGGGCGGUGUGCGAGCCUCCCCGGGCUGCACCAUGUACCACAGCAGCAGCCAGAAGCGGCACUGGACCUUUGCGAGCGAGGAGCAGCUGGCGCGCCUGCGGGCCGACGCCAACCGCAAAUUCAAGUGCAAAGCGGUGGCUAACGGGAAGGUUCUUCCAAAUGAUCCAGUGUUUCUUGAGCCUUAUGAAGAAAUGACACUUUGCAAAUACUAUGAGAAAAGAUUAUUGGAAUUCUGUUCGGUGUUUAAGCCAGCAAUGCCACGCUCUGUUGUGGGUACAGCUUGUAUGUAUUUCAAGCGUUUUUAUCUUAAUAAUUCAGUAAUGGAAUAUCACCCCCGGAUAAUAAUGCUCACUUGUGCAUUUUUGGCCUGCAAAGUAGAUGAAUUCAAUGUGUCUAGUCCUCAGUUUGUUGGAAAUCUUCGAGAGAGUCCCCUUGGACAGGAGAAGGCACUGGAACAGAUUUUGGAAUAUGAACUACUACUUAUACAGCAGCUUAAUUUUCACCUUAUUGUCCACAAUCCUUACCGACCAUUUGAAGGCUUUCUCAUUGAUAUAAAGACUCGAUACCCCAUGUUGGAGAAUCCAGAGAUUUUGAGGAAAACAGCUGAUGAUUUUCUUAGUAGAAUUGCAUUGACAGAUGCUUAUCUUUUAUACACACCUUCACAAAUUGCCCUGACAGCUAUCUUAUCAAGUGCCUCUAGGGCUGGAAUAACUAUGGAAAGCUAUUUAUCAGAAAGUCUAAUGCUGAGAGAAAAUAGAACUUGCCUGUCACAGUUACUGGAUAUAAUGAAAAGCAUGAGAAACCUAGUAAAAAAGUAUGAACCACCCAGGUCUGAAGAAGUUGCUGUUCUGAAACAGAAAUUGGAGCGAUGCCAUUCUGCCGACCUUGCGCUUAAUGUGGUGACGAAGAAGAGGAAAGGCUAUGAAGAUGAUGACUAUGUAUCAAAGAAACCCAAACAAGAAGAGGAGGAAUGGACUGAUGAUGACCUGAUAGACUCUCUCUAACCUUUUGAAGUCACAACGGCAGUGCUAAUGAAGCAACAGAAGUAGGAAGCAUGUCUGACAUUUAAGUAGUACAAUAUCACUAAAAUCACUAAAGUUUGGCAUCAGAGCAAGACCUCACAUGUAUCUCUGAAAAUUUUCUACCCAGCCCAUUAAAAAAAAAAAAAAAGUUUCAAAGAUUUUAUUUCACCACUAAAUACCUACCUACUAUUGCAGGGCCAAUGAAGGUAAGUAACAAGUUUCCCACUCCAAUUUAAGACAUAAACAUGUCAGUAAAACACAAAAAUGAAGAUAAGUUUUUCAGAUUUCUUUUAAAAUAAAAAUGGUAAAAAAGAGAAGCAUGUCUAGCCAAGGAAUGGCAGAUAGGCCAUCAUGGCUGACACUCAAGUACAAUUAAUGAGGAUAAACUAAAAUGCCGUAGAGAUUGGACCUCAGCCUGCUUUUGAAAGUUCUUAUCUACAUUUACCACUCGGUAGCCCUUCCACCUUAUAAACCAAGGAAAUGAGAUGAGUUACUGUCAUAGUGCAGCCAGGAACAGGAAUAGGAACUGUAAAGGGUUCCAGGGAGAAAGGGAUUACAUUGAGAACAAAAUUUUGUUUUGUUUUUGUUAUCACAGUUAACCUGAUUGAAGCUAUGUUAAGGACAGGAAAUUACCUGUAUAGCUGCAUUCAGCCCUAUAUUUAAGCUAGGGAUAUCUCUCAAUGGUAACAUCAAACAUCUCUCUAAAGAAUACAUUGAGGCCUCUUCAGUUUGUGCAAAGGGGAAUAAACCCUUGAGUACUUAACAUCUUUCACUGUAUACAAAAUCUCUGAGGAGUGCAACCAACUGUUUUUAGAAUCUAGGCCUUCAGAAAAGCAUCUUAUUGAGGGAAUUUUUUUUUUUUAUUAAUACCUUCCUUGGUUCUUUUUAAACAAACAAAAAAAA